Podarcis lilfordi (Lilford's wall lizard) is the source of this 66-nucleotide non-coding RNA. NCBI's taxonomy places the organism in Eukaryota, Metazoa, Chordata, Lepidosauria, Squamata, Lacertidae. The record is from the annotation of a GenBank genome assembly.
UGUAUAUAUAUGUGUGUGUGUAUAUAUAUAUAUAUAUAUAUAUACACACACACAUACACACACACA